RNAcentral lists this ribosomal RNA (1462 nucleotides) under uncultured bacterium. RNAcentral's name for it is "partial 16S ribosomal RNA". It matches the Rfam family "Bacterial small subunit ribosomal RNA". The record is from RNAcentral.
UUGAACGCUGGCGGCAUGCCUUACACAUGCAAGUCGAACGGCAGCACGGAGCUUGCUCUGGUGGCGAGUGGCGAACGGGUGAGUAAUAUAUCGGAACGUACCCUAGAGUGGGGGAUAACGUAGCGAAAGUUACGCUAAUACCGCAUACGAUCUAAGGAUGAAAGUGGGGGAUUCGCAAGAACCUCAUGCUCGUGGAGCGGCCGAUAUCUGAUUAGCUAGUUGGUAGGGUAAAAGCCUACCAAGGCAUCGAUCAGUAGCUGGUCUGAGAGGACGACCAGCCACACUGGAACUGAGACACGGUCCAGACUCCUACGGGAGGCAGCAGUGGGGAAUUUUGGACAAUGGGCGAAAGCCUGAUCCAGCAAUGCCGCGUGAGUGAAGAAGGCCUUCGGGUUGUAAAGCUCUUUUGUCAGGGAAGAAACGGUGAAAGCUAAUAUCUUUUGCUAAUGACGGUACCUGAAGAAUAAGCACCGGCUAACUACGUGCCAGCAGCCGCGGUAAUACGUAGGGUGCAAGCGUUAAUCGGAAUUACUGGGCGUAAAGCGUGCGCAGGCGGUUUUGUAAGUCUGAUGUGAAAUCCCCGGGCUCAACCUGGGAAUUGCAUUGGAGACUGCAAGGCUAGAAUCUGGCAGAGGGGGGUAGAAUUCCACGUGUAGCAGUGAAAUGCGUAGAUAUGUGGAGGAACACCGAUGGCGAAGGCAGCCCCCUGGGUCAAGACUGACGCUCAUGCACGAAAGCGUGGGGAGCAAACAGGAUUAGAUACCCUGGUAGUCCACGCCGUAAACGAUGUCUACUCGGAGUUUGGUGUCUUGAACACUGGGCUCUCAAGCUAACGCAUUAAGUAGACCGCCUGGGGAGUACGGCCGCAAGGUUAAAACUCAAAUGAAUUGACGGGGGCCCGCACAAGCGGUGGAGCAUGUGGUUUAAUUCGAUGCAACGCGAAGAACCUUACCUACUCUUGACAUCCACGGAAUUCGCUAGAGAUAGCUUAGUGCCUUCGGGAACCGUGAGACAGGUGCUGCAUGGCUGUCGUCAGCUCGUGUUGUGAAAUGUUGGGUUAAGUCCCGCAACGAGCGCAACCCCUAUCCUUAUUUGCCAGCACGUAAUGGUGGGAACUCUAGGGAGACUGCCGGUGAUAAACCGGAGGAAGGUGGGGACGACGUCAAGUCAUCAUGGCCCUUACGAGUAGGGCUACACACGUGCUACAAUGGCGAGUACAGAGGGUUGCAAAGCCGCGAGGUGGAGCUAAUCUCACAAAGCUCGUCGUAGUCCGGAUUGGAGUCUGCAACUCGACUCCAUGAAGUCGGAAUCGCUAGUAAUCGUGGAUCAGAAUGCCACGGUGAAUACGUUCCCGGGCCUUGUACACACCGCCCGUCACACCAUGGGAGUGGGCUGCAAAAGAAGUGGGUAGCUUAACCUUCGGGGGGGCGCUCACCACUUUGUGGUUCAUGACUGGGGUGAA